UACGAAGGUCCCGAGCGUUAUUCGGAAUCACUGGGCGUAAAGGGAGCGUAGGCGGCGUGGUAAGUCAGAUGUGAAAGCCCGGGGCUCAACCUCGGAACAGCAUUCGAUACUGCCAUGCUAGAGUAAUGGAGGGGUAAGAGGAAUUCUCGGUGUAGCAGUGAAAUGCGUAGAUAUCGAGAGGAAGACCAAUGGCGAAGGCAUCUUACUGGACAUUAACUGACGCUGAGGCUCGAAGGCUAGGGUAGCGAAAGGG
RNAcentral lists this ribosomal RNA (253 nucleotides) under uncultured bacterium. Its description in RNAcentral is "partial 16S ribosomal RNA". It matches the Rfam family "Bacterial small subunit ribosomal RNA", at positions 524 to 776 of the family's 1533-position model. The record is from RNAcentral.